This 797-nucleotide unclassified non-coding RNA is filed under the name Hevea brasiliensis (rubber tree). Lineage: Eukaryota; Viridiplantae; Streptophyta; Magnoliopsida; Malpighiales; Euphorbiaceae. The record is from RNAcentral.
AAAAGCAAAAUGUCAUACCAAAUAUUAACCUAGCAUCCAUCCACUAAACAUUGUACAGUAUCAUUUGGAUACACUCCAAUUCUAAGAACCUAGAUAACCUGCAUCAGAAGGUUAUACAACACCACCAACUAAGCUUGAGAAUGGAAGCAAGAAUGGAAGAUAAAUUUCAAUGCAUCAAACUGGCCUAUCAAGAAAAAAAAAUUCAACACAAUCAGAUCCUCAGUAGUUUCUAAAACACCAUUCAGUAUUUAAAUUAAAAAUCAUUGUGCCACGUCCCACCUACAUUUAGCCACUAAUCAUGGCAAACUAAUCAAAUGGUAAAGCACUAAAAUUCAGAAUCGACUACAGAUACACCUACAUCCCAAUUGAUCUCUAGUACAAAGUUUUCACUCACACUUUCUGAAAGUGCAACUUCAAAUAUUUCCUUCAUCACAACCAAAAGGAUCUCUCAGUUAAUUGGUCAACCAACUUUAAAAGGACAAAGCCAGCAUAAGUUAGUAAUCCUCAUUACUUUCCACACAAUACAAGAUCUGGGGCUGAGCAGAUUCCGGUUAAAACCAAAAAACUGAACUGAUCCAGUUCAGCUUUUCAGUUCAGUUUCUCUAGAGAUUAUGCAUGUUGUUGGAGUGAGUCGAGUGACUGGUGUGGUGUGUGGUAAGUGGCAAUGGCUGAGGUCAGGUGAGGGAUUUAGUGUGAAGGAAAGGAAAAGAUGAGGGAAAGAAGAAGUCAGCUGAAGUGAGAAGGGAGGGCUGGGGGAGGCCUCUGGGUCUGGUCUGGGGGAGGCCUCUGGGUCUGGU